UGGGAUGUAGCUCAGUGGUAAAGCGUUCGCUUCGCAUGCGAAAGGCCCGGGGCUCAAUUCCCCGCAUCUUCAA
Molecule: non-coding RNA, 73 nt
Organism: Trichonephila inaurata madagascariensis
Lineage: Eukaryota; Metazoa; Arthropoda; Arachnida; Araneae; Nephilidae
Source: the annotation of a GenBank genome assembly